AAUGGGGGCAACCCUGAGGGAGCAACGCCGCGUGCGGGAGGACGGCCUUAGGGUUUUAAACCCCUUUUUUCAGGGAAGAAGUACUGACGGUACCUGAGGAAUAAGCCUCGGCUAACUCCGUGCCAGCAGCCGCGGUAAGACGGAGGAGCCAAGCGUUAUCCGGAAUUAUUGGGCGUAAAGCGUCCGCAGGCGGCUAUUUAAGUUUGCUGUCAAAGCCCACAGCUCAUCUGUGGAUAGGCAGUGGAAACUGAGUAUCUUCAGUGC
RNAcentral lists this ribosomal RNA (264 nucleotides) under uncultured cyanobacterium. Its description in RNAcentral is "partial 16S ribosomal RNA". It matches the Rfam family "Bacterial small subunit ribosomal RNA", at positions 370 to 649 of the family's 1533-position model. Lineage: Bacteria; Bacillati; Cyanobacteriota. The record is from RNAcentral.